UUACCUCCAGCGGCCGCCCCCUCCCCGCCAGGGUCUGCACAGCCGCCUCGCCGCGCCCCGUGCACCCCGCGGCAGGCGCGAGCUGCGCAGCGGCUCCGCAUUCGGGCCCGGCGGCGGCCGCCGCUGCCCGGGCGUGAGCGAGCCCGGCCCGCCCGCGCGCCCGCGCUUCCCACGCUCCGCGCGCCGCUCCGCGCCGCCCAGCGGCCGCCGCCGGCACCACAACCCCGCGGCCCGAGGGGGCUGCGCAGCCCGGCGGGCCGCCGGCCCAGAACGCGGCUGUGGGUUCACACGGGGCUGGGGGACCCCGCAGGCCGACCUCUCCGGCUCCAGCUUCAGCGCAGAGCGGCUCCUGCCCACCGCGUCUCCCAAGGAGGUCCCAGAGCCUCUGCGUGAGUCCCCGAUUCUCCCGUCUGGCGCUCUGACCUUGCCUCCCUUAUUGACCUCAAGGCGGUGGAGGCCGGUGAGCGUGGGGACCACUCGUAGAAUGGAGGUCUUCACAGCUGUGUGGAGGCUUCAGUAGUAGCGGCUCUCGGCCCCAGAGCUCGGGCUCAGCAGUCACGGUGCUGGGCUUAGUCACCCUGGGGCAUGUGGAAUCUUCCCUGACCAGGGAUCACACCUGUGUCCCCGGCAUUGGCAGUAAUUAUCGAUGGCGAGAACUCUCACUUCUCUAUGGUGUCAGAGGGCUUUGAGAAGAGCUGGCCUCCAGCAGCCUGGCUCUCCAGCUUCAUCGCUAGUGAUUUCCUCUCCUCUCUCAUACUUUUCACAUGAACAUCCAGCUCCAGACAAGAUGAAGCAGAUCCACUUUCUCCCUCUUCCUCUGGUUAAGUGCUUCCUAACAUCCCGAACAUCACAGAUACAACAAACAUCUGAAAAGCAAAGCAAAGGCUAGGGACCCCAGGACUCAAGGAGUGACAUGGCACCGAGGUGGUAUCAACAGAGCCCGAGAUGGGUUGCUGAACUUCUGCUCUGGUCCAGCAAUAACGAGAAGCCUGCCACCCCUCAAGUGUCGACGGCUGCAUGGAGACCCUGGACUUUUACCCCCACCUGGCGGUAACCAGGAGGUCACCCUCCACCCCGCCCCACCCUGCCUGGCAGAGCAGUAGGAAAGGGGCCCUGCGGAAACAGAUCAGUCUCAGAACACAAUACCUGAAGUGUCCAAGAUGCAAUUUAAAAUCACUCAUGAUGCCAAGAACCAGGAAAAUUUCAACUUGAAUGAGAAGAGAUAAUUAGCAGAUGCCAACACGGAGAUGACAGAGAUGUUGGAAUUAUCUGACAAGGAUUUAAAAACAACCAUCAUCAACAUGCUUCACUGAGCAAUGGUAACAUUGCUCAAUAACUUAAAGGAACGAAUAGCAAGUCUCAGCGCAGAAAUAAAAGGUGGAAAGAAGGCUCAUAUCCUUUACUUGGGCCUUAAAAGCGCCACUCGUGUUUCCGGGAUGACCACCCUCACCUCGUGCCUGGGCCAAGGCGUCUGCCUCUUCUUAGAACACCCAUCUCUCCUUUUUAAAUCCUGCUUGUCCCGGGGGUCAGCUGAGAUGUCACCUCCUCUGCGAAGCCUUCUUUGACUUCCAUGCCCCUUCCUCCUGAAAGCUCCCCACGCCAUAGCACUCACACUCAACUCCAAUUAUUCUGUCCUCUCUCCCUCCACACCUACCCAGUGUAAAAACUUGCCAG
This is a long non-coding RNA of Bos taurus (domestic cattle), 1674 nucleotides long. NCBI's taxonomy places the organism in Eukaryota, Metazoa, Chordata, Mammalia, Artiodactyla, Bovidae. The record is from Ensembl.